Non-coding RNA from Trametes polyzona, 85 nucleotides. Lineage: Eukaryota; Fungi; Basidiomycota; Agaricomycetes; Polyporales; Polyporaceae. The record is from the annotation of a GenBank genome assembly.
UGCCCCGUGGCUGAGUUGGUUACAGCGUCCGACUGUUAUCUAAGUCGCAAUCGGAAGGUCGUGAGUUCGAGCCUCACCGGGGCAG